UAAAAACCCCGACUUCGGAAGGGGUGUAUUUAUUAGAUACAAAACCAAUGCCCUUCGGGGCUCUUUGGUGAUUCAUGAUAACUAUACGAAUCGCACGGCCUUGCGCCGGCGAUGGUUCAUUCAAAUUUCUUCCCUAUCAACUUUCGAUGUUUGGGUAUUGGCCAAACAUGGUUGCAACGGGUAACGGAGGGUUAAGGCUCGACCCCGGAGAAGGAGCCUGAGAAACGGCUACUACAACCAAGGAAGGCAGCAGGCGCGCAAAUUACCCAAUCCCGACUCGGGGAGGUAGUGACAAUAAAUACUGAUACAGGGCCCUUUCGGGCCUUGUAAUUGGAAUGAGUACAAUUUAAAUCCCUUAACGAGGAACAAUUGGAGGGCAAGUCUGGUGCCAGCAGCCGCGGUAAUUCCAGCUCCAAUAGCGUAUAUUAAAGUUGUUGUGGUUAAAAAGCUCGUAGUUGAACCUUGGGCCUGGCUGGCCGGUCCGCCUCACCGCGUGCACUGGUCCGGCCGGGCCUUUCCCUCUGUGGAACCCCAUACCCUUCACUGGGCGUGGCGGGGGAAAACAGGACAUCUACU
Molecule: ribosomal RNA, 576 nt
Filed under: uncultured eukaryote
Lineage: Eukaryota
Description: SSU rRNA
Rfam family: Eukaryotic small subunit ribosomal RNA
Source: RNAcentral